AUUGAACUCUGGCGGCAUGCCUUACACAUGCGAAGUCGAACGGUAACGCGGGGGGCAACCCUGGCGACGAGUGGCGAACGGGUGAGUAAUACAUCGGAACGUACCCGAGUGGUGGGGGAUAGCUCGGCGAAAGCCGGAUUAAUACCGCAUACGACCUACGGGUGAAAGCGGGGGAGUCGCAAGACCUCGCGCUAUUGGAGCGGCCGAUGUCGGAUUAGGCUAGUUGGUGAGGUAAAGGCUCACCAAGGCUACGAUCCGUAGCUGGUCUGAGAGGACGGACCAGCCACACUGGGACUGAGACACAGCCCAGACUCCUACGGGAGGCAGCAGUGGGGAAUUUUAGGACAAUGGGCGAAAGCCUGAUCCAGCCAUGCCGCGUGUGUGAAGAAGGCCUUAGGGUUG
This 402-nucleotide ribosomal RNA is filed under the name uncultured bacterium. RNAcentral describes it as "bacterial SSU rRNA". It matches the Rfam family "Bacterial small subunit ribosomal RNA", at positions 29 to 425 of the family's 1533-position model. The record is from RNAcentral.